Alexandromys fortis (reed vole) is the source of this 191-nucleotide long non-coding RNA. RefSeq lists it as uncharacterized. The record is from RefSeq and is a predicted model, not a curated record. NCBI's taxonomy places the organism in Eukaryota, Metazoa, Chordata, Mammalia, Rodentia, Cricetidae. The transcript has 3 exons.
UAGCAAAUUAAAACACUCCAUAGUUCACGGAGCUAUGUUCUAUGGACUACAGGCUGCCCGAAUCCCUCCUCCUAAGAAGACUUGAUUUCUACAUUUGGCUCUGCUUUGCCAAUAGCACACUUCCUGACAUGUGGGAAAUUCAGGCCAAUGAGAACAUUAUGCAUGGCAUGGGCAGAGCAGUUGAGUGAGUU